This 1407-nucleotide long non-coding RNA is filed under the name Callithrix jacchus (white-tufted-ear marmoset). RNAcentral describes it as "lncRNA (ENSCJAG00000070728.1)". Lineage: Eukaryota; Metazoa; Chordata; Mammalia; Primates; Cebidae. The record is from RNAcentral.
UCUCAGAGAUCCUCCCAAGAUUACACACACACACACGCACACCACACACCACACACACACCACACACACCACACACACACCACACACACCCAUCACACACACACACCACACACACCCAUCACACACACACCACACACACCACACACACCCAUCACACACACACACCACACACACACACCACACACACCACACACCACACACACACCACACACACCCAUCACACACACACCACACACACCACACACACCACACACACACACCACACACACCCAUCACACACCACACACACCACACACACCACACACACCCAUCACACACCACACACACCACACACACCACACACACACCACACACACACACCACACACACACACCACACACACCACACACACACCACACACACACCACACACACCACACACACCACACACACCACACACACCCAUCACACACACACACCACACACACACCACACACACACACCACACACACCACACACACACACCACACACACCCAUCACACACCACACACACACCACACACACACACCACACACACCCAUCACACACACACCACACACAUACCACACACACACCACACACACCACACACACCACACACACCCCACACACCACACACACCACACACACACCACACACCACACCACACACACACACCACACACACCACACACACACCACACACCACACACACCACACACACCACACACACACCACACACACACACCACACACACCACACACACACCACACACACCACACACACACCACACAAACACCACACACACACCACACACACCACACACACACCACACACACACCACACACACCCAUCCACACACACCACACACACCCAUCACACACACACACCACACCACACACCACACACACCACACACACACCACACACACACCACACACACCACACACACACCACACACACCACACACACACCACACACACCCAUCACACACACACCACACACACCACACACACACCACACACACACACCACACACACACCACACACACACACCACACACACCCAUCACACACACACCACACAUACCCAUCACACACACCACACACACACCACACACACCACACACACACCCAUCACACACCACACACACCACACACACACCACACACACCACACACACACCACACACACCACACACACACACCACACACACACCACACACACACACCACACACACCACACACACCACACACACACACCACACACACACACACCAUACACACCAUACACACACACACCACACACACACACACAAAACAGAACUUCCCUGGGAAACGCAUGGAGAUUAUUUCCUGACAGAGAAAGUUUUUGACCAGCUACCUGCUAGUACUGACCAUAACUCUAUACACUAG